Molecule: long non-coding RNA, 3880 nt
Organism: Pyrgilauda ruficollis (rufous-necked snowfinch)
Lineage: Eukaryota; Metazoa; Chordata; Aves; Passeriformes; Passeridae
Exons: 4
Source: RefSeq, a predicted model, not a curated record
CUCUGUUAUUUGCAAGGACAAGAAAGCUGAUGGUUCCUUUUUAUUUAUCACAGCAUCUACAGACUUUUCUUUAUUUUUUUUCCUAUGUCAGUAAUGGGGCUUCUGGUACACAGAUAUCUGCUGGUACUCAAACUGAAAGUGAAAUCCCUGGCUGUUGGUCUGGUUGCUGUCCUUAGGACACGUGAAUGUCUGCUCCUGUUUUGCUGUAGCUGCAGCUCCUCUCUGGUUCCACACACCUGCUUUGUCACAGAGUGUCAGUAACUUUGCAGAAGUCACUGCAUCCUCUGCUGUGCUUGGGAUCAACUCUGGCAUCUGUCUGAAUGUAUGUACGUCCCUACUGCAGAUCUGCUUUUCCUAUCCAGACUCUUAUCUGAGACCAAGGCCUGGAUGAUGUUUGGAGACUAGGCAUACCUUUACUGGACGAUCUGAUGGAUGUACACCAUGAUGUUCUAGGGCAUAAGAAAUGGAAGCCCCAUAAAAGUGUUGUCCAUGCUGCAUGCAGCUGUGGGGAUGUUUGCUUAAAUGAUUGAUCUUGUAUUUGAAGUCCUAUUGCUUGAUUUAUAUAUUGAUUUUUAGUAUCUUGACAGACCUUCCUCUUACACAGUAAAGCAUACCUGGGGUUCUAGUAGAAUUCUGCUCUUAGGUCAAGCUCAAACCUCAUUGCUCCUCCCUGCCUUCAGCUGGAAAUGGACAGACACCAUUUGUGACUGAAUAUCCUGAGUCACCGAUUCCCAGCUGGCAUGUGCACUGCAGUUCCGUCUCUUCCUUUCCGACUGCACUCCCUAGAGGAGAUUGGGAACAACUGCAGUCGUCAGCUCCAGCGUGGUGUGUGCACUUGCCGGGAUCCACACAAUUGGUGGACAACCCCUGUCUACGUCUAUGGGAGGUCAAAGUCCACUGCAAGCAGUGACUGAUACAAUUCCCUGUGUAAGUCAGGCUGGGCUGCCUGUGCCUCAGGUUCUAACAGCAGGGGAGUUUGUGCAAGAGCACCUUGGUAGGUGUUUGUCUGGAUUUCUCUGUGGUCCCUGUGAUGAUCCUAGGAAGCAGGAGGAGAUCCAGAAUUGUCUGAAAGCCAGGAUUCUUUGAAGUCCCAGAGAAGUAAUGAUGAGAGUUGUGGCUGAGGCCAACCUGCUAGCCUGCUUCCCGUUCUGCUUCUUGUAGGUGUCCAAGAAGCUGCCUCCAGUUUAUACAAUUGCACUCUAGUAAACAAUUUUGCAUGCAGAUAUGGGCAGCAGAUGUUAUUCAUGCCUGUGUGAACACUUCAGUGUUUUUCCAACAGGGAUGAUCCUCAGAUUGAGUCCUGUUAAACAAUGGAUGUACCCACCAGAAGUCCCACUGGUGACAGCCAUUCUGUUAGAGUUUGCACAAAACGCUUUGAAGGAUGGUCACGCCAUCCUUCUUUGGCCACUCAAGGGGAUUGACUCACAAAUAUGAGCAAAAUAAAAUUAGAUGGCUUAAGUGGCUGCAACCCCAGCUGUGUCCCCACUGCCCAAUUCCCAGAAGCUCAUCCCUGCAGCCAGCCUGGCUGUGGAAGGCAACUCCUGAGCUGCUGUAGUGCCAGCCCAUUCUUCAGGGUGUUAAUAUUUGUCUGGCUCCUCUGUGAAACAGUUUAGGAAGCUUAACCAGAAUAAAAAUGUGCACUUUUCCAUCUGAAGAAUUAUUUUUUAGUUUAAUUUCUCAAAUGGGCUCUGAGAAGCAGAAGCGUUGCUGUGAGGGCAGGGCAGAGAGAGAUGACCUUCCCUUUUGGGAGCAGCCAUUACGUCAGUUUUGCUGCCUCACAAAACUAUACCCUGUGGUUAUUUUUGGUGCUGGACUGCCUUAAUUUUCUGGAGAGUGAAUGAAGGAUUAGCAUAGUGUGCUUAUGACAUUUGGAAACUAAGCUCUCAGAAGAAAAAAUCAUAAUUUAGCAUGUGCUGAGGUGGAAAUGCUUAAAUUGCUAGGGAUGGAAAGAUGGGUAAAACAUGAAUUUUUUACAAUUAUUAUGAUUCAGCUAGGGGGUUAAAUACUUUUUAAAUUUUUUUUUGGUUUUGCUGCUUUUUAAGACCUCUAACCCAAUGCCUACUAUGCAGCUGCCUCUAGAGAGGGAAGUCUUUAAAGAGACCAGCUUUGUACCUAUAAAUAAUGUACACAGCAGAGUACAAAAAUGGAGUCAAGGAGAAGCUCCUCCUUACCUGAAUGUAACUGCAGCAGCUGCAUGAGAAUAGCUGUGGUCAGGCUGUGAGCAGCACUCAUACCCUGUCAUCCAUCUUGACUAAACUGCUUCUGAGAACUAAUUCUGAGAUUCCAACACCUGAAUAUCAACUGGUAAAUCCCAACUGCCUUGUACUGAAACACAUUAGAUGCCAGCAGCCAAACGUGGCAAGGUUUUGAACAGUGUGGUUAUAAUCCCAUUUGGAACUAAAGGUCUGCUGGAGUGCUUUGUUAAGUGUUGGAAUAUGGAGAAUUUCUCAAGUCCGAACCUCUGCUAUAAAUGAAAACACUGUGGCAAAAAAAUGUAAAUAAAUGCCACACAUAUUUUGUGUAAGAGCCCUUCCCAAUAUCUAUAAAUAUGGUAAUUUUGGUGUUUCCCGGUUUUGAGUUUUAAACAGGAGACAGACACAUGAAAUAUCACAAUGGAAGCAUUUUAUUUUUUUCAUGGAUUAAUUUUAUAAUUUCACUUUUAUUUUACCUGAAAACAAUUAAUGGAAACUAAAUGUAGUGUUUUAAAGAGGAUUGCCUUUGAAAGGAAAUAAUUUGUUCUUGAAAAAAUAACUUCAAUAGCUUCUCAGUUUAACUGCAUUUUAAUAUGAACACAAAACUCAUCCCGGGUCAGACUCUCCAGGAAAACUUUCUCAUUAUUCCUGUAGCAGUUGAUUCAUUCCAUGCUGCCUUAAUUUUGCAGCUUUAAAGGGCAGGUUCUCUGCAAAGCCAUCCACUUCAAAGCUUCAUAAAACAGAGCUUUGAAUAAAUUACUGAGUUAGAAAUUAUAUUGGCUGUGCCCAGCUUUGUGCCUGGAUGUGGGAAUACUUGGCACUGGGUGUGGAAUUCCAAGGAAAAUUGCCUCUUUGCUGGCUUGCCAAAGAGCAGUAAGAAGGAAAACUGCUGCAGAUGAGCAGACACGGAAAUCUCCAGCUUCCCCUUCCAGAGAACACAUCCUGAAGAACUGUUGAAUAUUAAUACACAUUAUAACUGGUGCAACACUGGGCAAACCCUGGCACUAACAGAAACUCCUGCUUCUGGAGGGGACGUGUCCCAGCGUGGCCACGGGGCAGCACUGCCUGCUGGAACUACUCUUACCUUUAAAAUGCAUCCCUGAGGAUGCAACGUGGAAUCCGUGGGAGUGGGGAAGGCCCACUGUGUGCGGACACACCAUGUUGGGGUGUGGGAUGCCCAUGCUUCAUGAAGCCCAGGCUGUGUUAUUUUGGAUUUUUUUUUCUCUCUUUUGCAAGCUUUAGAUAAUAUAAUACUAAUUAUAGCAGUGACAUAGUUGAUUUGUCUUUCACAAAGAGACAGCCCACCUUCCUCUGUAUUCAGACUUCAGCUGUGUGUGUGUGGAGACGAUUUGUCUAUAAUUGUUUGCUUUCUUCAGAGUCUUUUGAAGUUUAAAUCUUCAAGCCAGCUCCUUAUAUUAAAAAUAAAUUCUUCCAAGCCACCAAUAAAAUGUCAGCUGUGAUUAAAGCCCGACUCCUCAUUUUAAGACUUGUCUCCUAAGCACUGUGAGGUCACUCAAUGAGUCAGCCUUUGAAAGGACCAGGACCGUUAUUGUUUGGGUAAAGCCCAAAGUUCAUCAUUGCUUGCUUAAAUGGUUUCAUCACGUUCUAAAUGGCUUUGCAUUGUGCUGAAAGAAGUGUAAACUGCAGGAAUGAUUUGGCAGAGAACUUGUGAUAUUUCAGGCACCUCA